RNAcentral lists this ribosomal RNA (458 nucleotides) under Streptococcus mutans. Its description in RNAcentral is "bacterial SSU rRNA". It matches the Rfam family "Bacterial small subunit ribosomal RNA", at positions 29 to 463 of the family's 1533-position model. The record is from RNAcentral. Lineage: Bacteria; Bacillati; Bacillota; Bacilli; Lactobacillales; Streptococcaceae.
ACGAACGCUGGCGGCGUGCCUAAUACAUGCAAGUGGGACGCAAGGAAACACACUGUGCUUGCACACCGUGUUUUCUUGAGUCGCGAACGGGUGAGUAACGCGUAGGUAACCUGCCUAUUAGCGGGGGAUAACUAUUGGAAACGAUAGCUAAUACCGCAUAAUAUUAAUUAUUGCAUGAUAAUUGAUUGAAAGAUGCAAGCGCAUCACUAGUAGAUGGACCUGCGUUGUAUUAGCUAGUUGGUAAGGUAAGAGCUUACCAAGGCGACGAUACAUAGCCGACCUGAGAGGGUGAUCGGCCACACUGGGACUGAGACACGGCCCAGACUCCUACGGGAGGCAGCAGUAGGGAAUCUUCGGCAAUGGACGAAAGUCUGACCGAGCAACGCCGCGUGAGUGAAGAAGGUUUUCGGAUCGUAAAGCUCUGUUGUAAGUCAAGAACGUGUGUGAGAGUGGAAAGU